AACGUCAGUCGCCGAUGGCUAAUUGGUGCAAUAUUGAUCCUACGUUCGGAGGCUCUUUUGCAAAGGGAAUGCAUUCGUCCUGGGAAUAACUACAGAGCGGAAGUGCCCUAAUAACCCUUAAAGAUUCAACGAAGUGAUAACUGUGCGAAAAUGCAGAGUAGACUGACUUUGAUCCUCCUUGGCGCUCAUCCCCGCCAUGUCGCUGCCACAGUGUAAACAACCCUAGGCAGCCCCUCUCGGAAUGAUGAACUGGUGCCUUUGCUAGUUGCUACUCAGUUCUCUUGACCUUUAUACAACUGGACAUCAUGGAGUCUUUUGUGAGAAUGGAGCAUGACCCAGAUGGGAAUUCCCAGCAGGUGGCGGUCAUCAUGACAGGCCAGUAA
Molecule: long non-coding RNA, 383 nt
Organism: Penaeus monodon (black tiger shrimp)
Lineage: Eukaryota; Metazoa; Arthropoda; Malacostraca; Decapoda; Penaeidae
Exons: 3
Source: RefSeq, a predicted model, not a curated record